RNAcentral lists this microRNA precursor (193 nucleotides) under Oryza sativa Japonica Group (Japanese rice). Its description in RNAcentral is "MIR812 microRNA precursor family". It matches the Rfam family "MIR812 microRNA precursor family". Lineage: Eukaryota; Viridiplantae; Streptophyta; Magnoliopsida; Poales; Poaceae. The record is from Rfam by way of RNAcentral.
CCUGGUUUCCGUGUCUAACAUUUAAUCGUCCGUCUUAUUUAAAAAAAUUAUAAAAAAAAAUUAAAAAUAUAAGCCACGCAUAAAGUAUUAAUCAUGUUUUAUCAUCUAACAACAACGAAAAUAAUAAUUAUAAAAAAAAUCAUAUAAGACAGACAGUUAAAUGUUGGCACGGGAACCCACAGUUUGUCUUUUU